AAUUUUAUAGUGUAUUACAACACAUUACAUUUUCGUUGUAAAAAUGAAACAAUUAUUUUUCUAAAAUUA
Molecule: transfer RNA, 69 nt
Filed under: Domecia hispida
Lineage: Eukaryota; Metazoa; Arthropoda; Malacostraca; Decapoda; Domeciidae
Description: tRNA-Glu
Source: RNAcentral